This is a long non-coding RNA of Ruditapes philippinarum (Manila clam), 417 nucleotides long. RefSeq lists it as uncharacterized. The transcript is spliced from 3 exons. Lineage: Eukaryota; Metazoa; Mollusca; Bivalvia; Venerida; Veneridae. The record is from RefSeq and is a predicted model, not a curated record.
AUCACAUAGUGUGGACUUUAUUUGCAGCUUUGGUGUUAUAAUUAUAUACAAACGACAUUGAAUAUUUAAUAUGUGUGGUUGAAAUACACUUACUCGUUUAUCUAUCACCUACGUACGCUAAACAGACUAGAUUAUAAACAGUGACUUCGGAGUAUAAAACGGAUAUUUCUCGCACUUACAUAGAUUUAAAGUUCAACUAUGUCACGUUCUGGAACCUGCCUUACGUUUUUCGUGAAUGGAAAGAAGAUAUGUGAAACAAGUCCAGAUCCGAAGUGCACACUUUUGCAGUAUCUACGGCGAACACUUUUUUUACCAGGCACAAAAGAAGGGUGUGGUCAUGGAGGGUGUGGUUCGUGUACUGUGAUGGUGUCCAAAUAUGAUUUUACUAGCAAGCGUAUUAAGUAUCCUAAGAUGGUC